RNAcentral lists this ribosomal RNA (875 nucleotides) under uncultured haloarchaeon. RNAcentral describes it as "bacterial SSU rRNA". It matches the Rfam family "Archaeal small subunit ribosomal RNA", at positions 23 to 903 of the family's 1478-position model. Lineage: Archaea; Methanobacteriati; Methanobacteriota; Halobacteria; Halobacteriales; Halobacteriaceae. The record is from RNAcentral.
GCCAUUGCUAUUGGGAUCCGACUAAGCCAUGCGAGUCGAGAGUCAUUUGGACUCGGCGAACUGCUCAGUAACACGUGGCCAAACUACCCUGUGGAGGGGAAUAACCUCGGGAAACUGAGGAUAAGACCUCAUAGGUGCCCGAUGCUGGAAUGCACGGGCACCCAAACGUUCCGACGCCACAGGACGUGGCUGCGGCCGAUUAGGUUGACGGUGGGGUAAAGGCCCACCGUGCCAGUAAUCGGUACGGGUUGUGAGAGCAAGAGCCCGGAGAUGGACUCUGAGACACGAGUCCAGGCCCUACGGGGCGCAGCAGGCGCGAAACCUUUACACUGUACGCGAGUGCGAUAAGGGGAUCCCAAGUGCCCACGCCUAGCGUGGGCUUUUCCGAACCGUAAAAUGGUUCAGGAAUAAGGGCUGGGAAAGACCGGUGCCAGCCGCCGCGGUAACACCGGCAGCUCGAGUGAUGGCCGAUUUUAUUGGGCCUAAAGCGUCCGUAGCCUGCCGUACGGGUCCGUCGGGAAAUCCGCCCGCUCAACGGGCGGACGUCCGGCGGAAACCAUACGGCUUGGGACCAGAGGACCCGAGGGGUACGUCGGGGGUAGGAGUGAAAUCCCGAGAUCCUCGACGGACCGCCGGUGGCGAAAGCGCCUCGGGAAGAUGGAUCCGACGGUCAGGGACGAAAGCUUGGGUCUCGAACCGGAUUAGAUACCCGGGUAGUCCAAGCUGUAAACGAUGCUCGCUAGGUGUGGCGUAGGCUACGAGCCUGCGCUGUGCCAAAGGGAAGCCACGAAGCGAGCCGCCUGGGAAGUACGUCUGCAAGGAUGAAACUUAAAGGAAUUGGCGGGGGAGCACUACAACGGGAGGAGCUGCGGUUA